Molecule: ribosomal RNA, 445 nt
Filed under: uncultured bacterium
Lineage: Bacteria
Description: partial 16S ribosomal RNA
Rfam family: Bacterial small subunit ribosomal RNA
Source: RNAcentral
GUGAGGAAUAUUGGACAAUGGGCGCAAGCCUGAUCCAGCCAUGCCGCGUGCAGGAAGACGCAUCUAUGGUGUGUAAACUGCUUUUGUACGGGAAGAAACACUCCCUCGUGAGGGAGCUUGACGGUACCGUAAGAAUAAGGAUCGGCUAACUCCGUGCCAGCAGCCGCGGUAAUACGGAGGAUCCAAGCGUUAUCCGGAAUCAUUGGGUUUAAAGGGUCCGUAGGCGGUUUAAUAAGUCAGUGGUGAAAGCCCAUCGCUCAACGAUGGAACGGCAAUUGAUACUGUUAGACUUGAAUUACAAGGAAGUAACUAGAAUAUGUAGUGUAGCGGUGAAAUGCUUAGAUAUUACAUGGAAUACCAAUUGCGAAGGCAGGUUACUACUUGUGGAUUGACGCUGAUGGACGAAAGCGUGGGGAGCGAACAGGAUUAGAAACCCUAGUAGUCC